This 399-nucleotide long non-coding RNA is filed under the name Linum usitatissimum (flax). RNAcentral describes it as "long non-coding RNA (LUSI_LNC007324)". Lineage: Eukaryota; Viridiplantae; Streptophyta; Magnoliopsida; Malpighiales; Linaceae. The record is from RNAcentral.
CCCGGCCGUUAUUGUCGCGGCCGGGGAGAACAACGGCAGUAUCGAGUUCGUCCGGGGGUUCGAGUGAGGCGGAUUUCUCGACGUGGGUUCGCUUGGCGGAUGAAGGGCCAUCGUCAGGGGAGGAUUCGAGACCGACAGCGGCGGUGGAGGGGUCUCUGUCGGAGCGUUUUGUUUUCAUUGGAGGGAUUUGUGGGUGGAGGAGUAGAGAGUGAAGCAUGUCGGAAGAAAUGGAGAUUGAAAGGAGGAGGAUGAAGAAAAGACUGUGAGAGAGAUUCGAAAGGCGGAGAACUUUCGAGCAAAAGGUGACAAGAUCUUUGGCUGAGGGAGUCAGUAGAUAACAAUAGAAGUGUGUGCAGAAGGGGAAAAGGGGAGGGAAGAAGAAAGGUUAGAUAGGAAAGG